RNAcentral lists this long non-coding RNA (245 nucleotides) under Lathyrus oleraceus (garden pea). RNAcentral's name for it is "Pisum sativum (pea) long non-coding RNA (PSAT_LNC017157)". The record is from RNAcentral. Lineage: Eukaryota; Viridiplantae; Streptophyta; Magnoliopsida; Fabales; Fabaceae.
UCAAUUCAAAAAUUAAUGAGAAUAUUUUUCAUAGAUCCAUCAUCAUUCAAAUAGGUUAGGAAAAUAUUUUUGCAUUUUUUGAAUAUCAAAAACUAUUUAAAAUGAAUUAAAAAUAACCAGAAAAGAGAAAAAUCAAAAAAAAUAUCAAAUGACAAAAUAAAAAAUAUUAAAAAUCAGAAAUAGAAACUAGAAGUUAUUUGGGAAAUAAUGCAAUUGGUCCCAUAAUUUUUGGAUUAAAAAUGAAA